Molecule: ribosomal RNA, 2072 nt
Filed under: Listeria monocytogenes
Lineage: Bacteria; Bacillati; Bacillota; Bacilli; Caryophanales; Listeriaceae
Description: partial 23S ribosomal RNA
Rfam family: Bacterial large subunit ribosomal RNA
Source: RNAcentral
CGAAAUAGCUUUAGGGCUAGCCUCGAGGUAAAGAGUCAUGGAGGUAGAGCACUGUUUGGACUAGGGGCCCUUCUCGGGUUACCGAAUUCAGAUAAACUCCGAAUGCCAUGUACUUAUACUCGGGAGUCAGACUGCGAGUGAUAAGAUCCGUAGUCGAAAGGGAAACAGCCCAGACCACCAGUUAAGGUCCCCAAAUAUAUGUUAAGUGGAAAAGGAUGUGGGGUUGCUUAGACAACCAGGAUGUUGGCUUAGAAGCAGCCACCAUUGAAAGAGUGCGUAAUAGCUCACUGGUCGAGUGACCCCGCGCCGAAAAUGUACCGGGGCUAAACAUAUUACCGAAACUGUGGAUGAACCUCUUUAGAGGUUCGUGGUAGGAGAGCGUUCUAAGGGCGGUGAAGUCAGACCGGAAGGACUGGUGGAGCGCUUAGAAGUGAGAAUGCCGGUAUGAGUAGCGAAAGAAGGGUGAGAAUCCCUUCCACCGAAUAUCUAAGGUUUCCUGAGGAAGGCUCGUCCGCUCAGGGUUAGUCGGGACCUAAGCCGAGGCCGAUAGGCGUAGGCGAUGGACAACAGGUAGAGAUUCCUGUACCAGUGCUAAUUGUUUAACCGAUGGGGUGACACAGAAGGAUAGGGAAUCGCACGAAUGGAAAUGUGCGUCCAAGCAGUGAGUGUGAGAAGUAGGCAAAUCCGCUUCUCGCGAAGCAUGAGCUGUGAUGGGGAAGGAAAUUAAGUACGGAAGUUCCUGAUUUCACGCUGUCAAGAAAAGCCUCUAGGAAGAGUAGUACUGCCCGUACCGCAAACCGACACAGGUAGAUGAGGAGAGAAUCCUAAGGUGAGCGAGAGAACUCUCGUUAAGGAACUCGGCAAAAUGACCCCGUAACUUCGGGAGAAGGGGUGCUCUAUUAGGGUGCAAGCCCGAGAGAGCCGCAGUGAAUAGGCCCAGGCGACUGUUUAGCAAAAACACAGGUCUCUGCAAAACCGUAAGGUGACGUAUAGGGGCUGACGCCUGCCCGGUGCUGGAAGGUUAAGAGGAGUGCUUAGCUUCGGCGAAGGUACGAAUUGAAGCCCCAGUAAACGGCGGCCGUAACUAUAACGGUCCUAAGGUAGCGAAAUUCCUUGUCGGGUAAGUUCCGACCCGCACGAAAGGCGCAACGAUCUGGGCACUGUCUCAACGAGAGACUCGGUGAAAUUAUAGUACCUGUGAAGAUGCAGGUUACCCGCGACAGGACGGAAAGACCCCGUGGAGCUUUACUGCAACCUGAUAUGGAAUGUUUGUACCGCUUGUACAGGAUAGGUAGGAGCCGAAGAGACGUGUGCGCUAGCAUACGAGGAGGCAAUGGUGGGAUACUACCCUGGCUGUAUGACCAUUCUAACCCGCCACGCUUAGCGCGUGGGGAGACAGUGUCAGGUGGGCAGUUUGACUGGGGCGGUCGCCUCCUAAAGAGUAACGGAGGCGCCCAAAGGUUCCCUCAGAAUGGAUGGAAAUCAUUCGCAGAGUGUAAAGGCACAAGGGAGCUUGACUGCGAGACUGACAAGUCGAGCAGGGACGAAAGUCGGGCUUAGUGAUCCGGUGGUUCCGCAUGGAAGGGCCAUCGCUCAACGGAUAAAAGCUACCCCGGGGAUAACAGGCUUAUCUCCCCCAAGAGUCCACAUCGACGGGGAGGUUUGGCACCUCGAUGUCGGCUCGUCGCAUCCUGGGGCUGUAGUCGGUCCCAAGGGUUGGGCUGUUCGCCCAUUAAAGCGGCACGCGAGCUGGGUUCAGAACGUCGUGAGACAGUUCGGUCCCUAUCCGUCGCGGGCGCAGGAAAUUUGAGAGGAGCUGUCCUUAGUACGAGAGGACCGGGAUGGACACACCGCUGGUGUACCAGUUGUUCCGCCAGGAGCAUCGCUGGGUAGCUAUGUGUGGCAGGGAUAAACGCUGAAAGCAUCUAAGCGUGAAGCCCCCCUCAAGAUGAGAUUUCCCAUUUCUUCGGAAAGUAAGAUCCCUGAAAGAUGAUCAGGUAGAUAGGUUUGGAGUGGAAGUGUAGCGAUACAUGGAGCGGACAAAUACUAAUCGAUCGAGGACUUAACCAAAA